Molecule: long non-coding RNA, 750 nt
Organism: Styela clava
Lineage: Eukaryota; Metazoa; Chordata; Ascidiacea; Stolidobranchia; Styelidae
Source: RefSeq, a predicted model, not a curated record
GAAUUAUUGAACUGCAAUUUAUGAAUCUGUCCUGCGUUGUGAUUGUUUUGUGAAAUAUUCUUGUGUUCUGCAGUUACAUAAAAGAUUCGAUAUAUUGUUGACCUUGGCUGAAAACAGUCGAAAACCUCUCUCUCUAUCUCAACUCUAUCUAUCUGUAUUUGUCAUUUGUUUCGGUAAUCCAUUUGGCUCCAUCUGACAUCUCGAUUGUAUAUUUGUGCUGAGCAAGUGCUUGAUAAUUUCACGACACAUUACGAUUCUCCUGUGUUUAAAGAUGCGUAUUGUGGGCUUGUGGACUUCAAGCUUGCUUAUCUCAGUUAUAAGACGGGAUAAUUUGGAGAGGAUUGUCUGGACGGAACAUAGACAAAUAUUGCUGUAUUGGGAUAGACUAUAGCGUUUAGACUGGAAAAUAUUGGCACACUGUUCAGCGCCCUUCGUCUUUGUGUAGCAAGCAGGGUGCUUAAGGUCACACCCCGUCAAGCUUCUACAAUAAUUGUAAUUUUGUGGAAUUCGGCAAAAACUUUUUUUUGUAUAUUAAUUAUAAGCUUAUAGCAGAAAGAUUGCGUUUCUUCGACACCCCAUUUGCCAGUUUAAGCACCAAUGCGCCCAUCGUUUUCAAUGGCAAAGUCUAUUAAAAACAGACCAUUUUCAUUUCGUAGAAUCGCGCCAUGUAUUUAACUAUUUUGCCCAACAAAACUGUAAUUUGGCGUUAAAAAGGUGGACACAAUUAUUCUGAACAAUUCACUAACUGGA